Molecule: long non-coding RNA, 275 nt
Organism: Leptopilina heterotoma
Lineage: Eukaryota; Metazoa; Arthropoda; Insecta; Hymenoptera; Figitidae
Exons: 2
Source: RefSeq, a predicted model, not a curated record
UACAGAUGUAGUUGGCUUGAUAUGGGGAAACAUGGCCGCACAACAGAAGGUGGAGUAAGGCGGGGUUGCCUACGUAAAGGCAUAACAUUAUCAUAAUACAGGGCAAUGUAGAUGACUUGAUUUGGAAAAAAAUGUCCGCACCGAAAGUUGGAGUAAGGCGGGGUUGCCUACGUAAAGGCAUAACAGUAUCAUAAAACAGGGCAGUAAGUUUUAUUUUGUUAAAAAUUAUAAAAGUAAAAUUUUGCAGUAAUAAAAACUAAUAGAAUGAAUAUAAA